RNAcentral lists this ribosomal RNA (373 nucleotides) under uncultured bacterium. Its description in RNAcentral is "bacterial SSU rRNA". It matches the Rfam family "Bacterial small subunit ribosomal RNA", at positions 527 to 898 of the family's 1533-position model. The record is from RNAcentral.
GUAGGGUGCAAGCGUUGUCCGGAAUCAUUGGGCGUAAAGCGCGUGUAGGCGGCUUGGUCAGUCAGCUGUGAAAGCCCAGGGCUCAACCCUGGGAUGCCGGUUGAUACUGCCAAGCUCGAGUCCGGAAGAGGAGUGUGGAAUUCCUGGUGUAGCGGUGAAAUGCGCAGAUAUCAGGAGGAACACCAAUGGCGAAGGCAGCACUCUGGGACGUGACUGACGCUGAGACGCGAAAGCGUGGGGAGCAAACAGGAUUAGAUACCCUGGUAGUCCACGCCGUAAACGAUGGGCACUAGGUGUGGGAGGUGUCGACUCCUCCCGUGCCGAAGCUAACGCAUUAAGUGCCCCGCCUGGGGAGUACGGUCGCAAGACUAAA